Molecule: non-coding RNA, 71 nt
Organism: Parelaphostrongylus tenuis
Lineage: Eukaryota; Metazoa; Nematoda; Chromadorea; Rhabditida; Metastrongylidae
Source: the annotation of a GenBank genome assembly
GCACUGGUGGUUCAGUGGUGAAAACGCUCGCCUGUCACCCGGGUGACCCGAGUUCAAUCCCUGUUAAUGCA